Molecule: ribosomal RNA, 253 nt
Filed under: uncultured prokaryote
Description: partial 16S ribosomal RNA
Rfam family: Bacterial small subunit ribosomal RNA
Source: RNAcentral
UACGGGGGGAGCAAGCGUUGUUCGGAUUUACUGGGCGUAAAGGGCGCGUAGGCGGCGGGGUAAGUCGGGUGUGAAAUCUCAGAGCUCAACUCUGAAACUGCACUCGAUACUGCUCUGCUUGAGGACUGGAGAGGAGACUGGAAUUCACGGUGUAGCAGUGAAAUGCGUAGAUAUCGUGAGGAAGACCAGUGGCGAAGGCGGGUCUCUGGACAGCUCCUGACGCUGAGGCGCGAAGGCCAGGGGAGCAAACGGG